GACGUUUCAUAUGACGUAGAUACAGAAGUACAGAAAUAGUGCGCAUCGGAGUAUUUACGGGUAACUUAACUCACAAGGUGAUCGUUGGGCCCUGAUCAGAAUCCUUUAUGACAGAUUGAAGGGUGAACUUUCAAGAAUGCUCGACUCAGAUGACGCCAAUAACCCACCAAACGACUACUCUCCACCAGCUGCUUCUCAGGUGAAACAGAAAAGGCGUCACUUCCGACCAGCCCACAGACACAGCCAAAUGAGACCAAUCAUCUUGAUCAACCGGCACUAAGAGAUCCUGAAGAACAGAAAGACACAAGCAGAAUCAGUGUCCCGUCAGCGCCUGCUUUCCUGGUCUUUCCACACACUGCUUUCCAGGUCCUUCCAGACUCCAAUAUCAGGUUUAGGCAUGUGCUGCCAUCCAGGUCCCCCAAAUGGCCAAGGUCCUUCCAAUUGCUGCUAUACAGGUCCCACCACCUUAUGCGGUCAAAGUCCCUCCAUACUUUGAAUUCCAUGUUCCUCUGUCCGUUAGCCUGCUGUUCAGUUACCUCAAACAGCUGUGAUCCAUUCCUCUACGAGACGUGGCUGCUGAGUGCAUUACCUGCUGCAUUGCCCUCAUGUUUACACCUGAGCAACUGGACACAUGCUCCCCCAACAACAACUGGAACGCCGGGACCAGAACUUCCUUGUACAAAGCGGAAUGCGAUCAUUGGUUAAUAUUGUAGAGAGGACUAAUGCUUUUGCCAAAAAAUUCCAUUUGCCUCUGGUGGAAGUGGAGGACAUGUAUGGGGUGCAUUGAGGCGCGCUGGCGAUGUACAAAGAUAUUUAAUGUAUAAUGCUAGGAUGGUAUGUAAUAAUACUAUUUAUUUAUAUACCUUUUGAUGCUUCGACUAAUUUAUUUUGCACUAAUUAUUACUUAAUGAUUUUGUUUAAUAAGUUCAAUAUAACGCAAAUUCGAAAUGGGACAAUGCACUUUUUUGUGUUUUUAUGUCAAUUUUUUUUGUUGGUAUUAAUCUUUAUAUCAAUUUUUAUCAAUAACCUGUUAACUCAAAAAAUAUAUAUGUGAAAUUGAGUACUUCGUUCUGUUAUAUGAAUGAUGAA
This is a long non-coding RNA of Dreissena polymorpha, 1089 nucleotides long. RefSeq lists it as uncharacterized. Lineage: Eukaryota; Metazoa; Mollusca; Bivalvia; Myida; Dreissenidae. The transcript has 5 exons. The record is from RefSeq and is a predicted model, not a curated record.